Molecule: microRNA precursor, 106 nt
Filed under: Anopheles dirus
Lineage: Eukaryota; Metazoa; Arthropoda; Insecta; Diptera; Culicidae
Description: microRNA mir-449
Source: RNAcentral
AAUCGUUUACGCAUAGCGCAGUGUUUUGUUUGUUUUUUUUUCUUGAACAUUAACCAAUCCAAGGAAAAAAAAACAAACAAAACACUGCGCUAUGCGUAAACGAUUG